This 7585-nucleotide long non-coding RNA is filed under the name Hordeum vulgare. RNAcentral describes it as "long non-coding RNA (HVUL_LNC016469)". Lineage: Eukaryota; Viridiplantae; Streptophyta; Magnoliopsida; Poales; Poaceae. The record is from RNAcentral.
GUCUCGCGGUCAAUCCCUCGCUCGCAUGCUCGCCGCGCCUCCUCCCCCCGGUCGCUGCGCCGCUGGCCUGCUCGCCGCGCCUCCCCCCCCCGCUCGCCGCGCCUCCUCACCCGCUCGCCGCGCCGCGCCUCCUCCCGCCGCUCGCCGAACCUACUGAUCCACGCGUGACCAUCAUGCCGCACCACACCACAAAGGAGGGGACAGCGGCGAGGACGGUUCCACACCGGUCGGCGGCGCGGUGAAGUAUGUCCUGCUCCCUCUGCCAUAUCCCUUUCUCUUUCCCUCCCUUCAUUUCUCUUCUUCUCUCGGCCGACGGGUUAAUGGUGAGUGACGGAGGUUCACCCCCCUCUCCUUGGGACGACAGCGGCGGCGGGCAGCAAGUGGCUGGCUACAACUCGCUUUUCUCUCCGAUCCGUUCUCUCUCACCGGAUGUCUCUGUAAACUGAAUCUUAUUUCUCUGAAUUUUGGCUGAACUGCAGCACGAAGGAGGCAACCAGGACACCGACGCCAAGCCGGCGACCAGGGCGGACACCAUCUCAAUCUCCGGUCAUUUCUUCCUCUGGUAUGACCGCACGAUCUCCACCUAUACAAAAUUAGUUAGCCUUGAGAGAAAGAAUUCAACAAUUUAUUGAUCACUUUAAUCGUUAUAAAGAGUGUGGCUGGUGCACCCGGGGGGCGAGGACAAUCAGGGUUGAUGAUCCCCAUCUGUAUUACAAUUAGAAAGGCCACCGGCAUUAUUGCUCAAGCUUAAAUUAAUAGACAGAGUGCAUCACUCUCUUUUGAAAAUUCCGAGCAUACCAUUGAUGACUUUUAUUGAUUAGGGGAUUUAUUGCAGCAAGAACGCGUUAAUCUUGGCUAUCAACAGAGAAUGUGAUGAGAUGGCAUUGGUUGCAGAUGAAAUGAAAAAAUAUUUAUAGGUCGGAUUGGCUUAUGCAUAGGUGUAUUGAUUGGAAUUAUCCACUUUACUGUGUUCUAUGUUUUUCAUUUCCUUUUGUUGAUGAAGAUUGAUUUUUUCAGUGCAGAUCUAGAUUGUAGAAUUCCAUGCUUGAGUUAGGGCUUGUGAUUGGCCUUUGUGAUGCGCACGUAGAUUCUAGGAUGUACUUGAUUGAUCUAUGAGAUGUGUGACUUGGUGGUGAAGGUUUCUCACAUCUGCUUGGUUGACUAUGGAGAAAUGAGCAUGUUCACCGUGCGGAUUGUUCAUAUAUUCUUUGGCUGUGUCAGUGCUGAUCUCAGUUACUUGAUUUUCUAUCAAUUGCUCUUGCCAGUGGAGGGAUAGUAGCAGAUUUAAUGGUCGUAUUUUGUUAAUUUUAAUAGCAAUCCUUUUAUUCUCAGAUCCAUGUCGUUUAUGCACUGCCACAUUGGUUCAUCUUUAUUUCCUAGAGUAUCCUGACAGGUUUCUGUAGGAUAAACAUUUCUAUCAUGCUAAGCAUUUUUUUAAGUAUCGCAAGCUGUAAGUUUGGGAAAUUUAUACUUGUUCAUUGUAGCUUUACUAUUCCUGUAAGCUUACACCUCAUAUCUCCAUCUUAUAAUUGCAGGUGUAUUCACCUCAUCACACCAUUAGUUCUGAUCAAGGUACCCAUCAUUUCCUACAUUGCAGAUGUAAAGCCAUUUUUUCUGGGGAUUGCUGAUAUUAAGUCUGUCAUUCGGCAAAAUAUUUCUGAUCCUAAUAAAUAAUCAGAUUAUUGUGCUCAUAGUUUUUCUUCUCUUAACUAGGAUCUGGAUGUGGUGCAAGCUACAAACACUACCCGGAAGGAGGCAUCGGGAUUGUUAUUGACUCGGAGGAGCAGGAGGCACCCGGAGAGGGAGUAAGCACCUUGACAAUGACAGCCAUGACCCGGCUUAUUUGGUUAUCCUUCAUAUGUCACCUAGGUUGGUUUGUGGGAAUUGACAUGCAUUGUUGUUCCAUUUAACUGAUUUAUUUGAUAAAUAUAUGACCAUAUGAGUAACCUAUUGUUUGUUUUAGUACCAUUUUACUUAUCUAUUUGAUAAACAUGUGACCAUAUGAGUAACAUAUUGUUUGUUUUAGUACUACCAGACACCGCAUUCCUAUUUAAUAGGGAAUUUAUUAUCUAUCAUUCAGGCUAUAAUAAUUGUUUUUUACUAGCGAUUGAAGCUUUAUUGUAUGCUUUAGAUUUAUCUAUUACUAUUAAACAAUCAAACAUAUUCAUCUCUAAAUGCAUCCAACCUAAUCUACGUGUAACAUCCCAAACUAAUUAUAGCCUCAUGAUCCGAAUCACUUGAUUUUAUCUAACAAUUUAGAUUACUCUAUCUGUCACACAUGAGUGCGUUUAGCAAUAUUAGAGUGCAUACGAAAACUCUUCCGUCCCAUUAUGACUCGCGGUGGCGACCCCAUCAAUCACGCCCAAAAAAAAGAAUCAGAUCCCAAUCAGAUCCCCUCACCCUCAACCGGGCGAUGCACCACCGGCUUGCCAUCACAAGACUUCCCAGUUGGCGUGAUCCUCCUCCCCCUUCUCACUAGAUUUCAUCUUCGCCAAUGAGAGGUGCUCUAGGGGGGCUCCGGCGACGGUGGUGGGGAGCAGCGACGCAUUGGCGGGCAGCAGUGCUUAUGCAGCACAUAGCGGCAGCGCUGUAGGGCGGGAAAAUGGAGGCCUGAUGGCGCUGAAGGCGGAUCUCGGCCGCGGAUCUUGGCCGUGAGAGUGACACGCAGAGGCUGUUGGCAGCCGCAUCACCAAGCGGCAACCCCGCCGCCACACCCCCACACAAGCGCAGCGCCCCCAGAUCGCUGAGCCACAACCCCGCCGUUCCCUGCCAAAGGUCGCCGACGCCUUCCCCAACUUUUGGGUCGGCACCCAGAUUGUAGGCCUCCCUUUUAGCACCUUUUAGUGUUUGGUUAACACGUUUCUAUGAAAUUGAAGGUAUCAGUAAGGUUAUGUUGUGUGUUCACAUUAAUUUAGAAAUUGUAUGUAUAAAUUGAGUGCAUCCGAUGUUGUGCUUCUCAUGUUCCCUUGAAUGGAUGGAUGGAAAGAUGUUUUAUCUUUCAGGAUUUCUGGUGUGCGUACGAUCCUCUAAAUAACUUUUUUUCAUCUCAUGCAGCAACAGAGGUUUAGUGUAAGGCGUUGCAGCAUGGAUGCACAUGGGAUGCUGCACGUUAAAGUCCUUUACUUUGUUGAUAAUUUCUGUGAUGUAGAUUAUAAGUUAUAUAACAGAAAUAGAAUUUAAUUUGUGUAUGGUGUGGAUUCCAAAACUAAUCUGCUUCUAUUGAAACGCUCGCUUGUACUAGAAUUUUUCUAAAGCUAAUGGAAUCCCCUUGUACUCCGUCUAAAGCUUUCACGAUGACUACUUUUCCAAGAUACAUGUGACAGAGAGUAGGAGCUCAGGGAGCUGAAUGUGAAAGGAUAAAGUAGUCGGGAAGGAGAAAUCAUAUGUUGGAUUAACUAAUGCUUCCUAAUCAGUAUGCUUUUCAUAUUGUCGUUUAUAUUGAACUAAUAUAGUUUGCUUUUGAUUAAGGAUCUUGACAUGGCACCUAGCUGUUUUUGAUUUCCUGUAGUUUUUGUUGAUCUUCUCCUUCUUCGGAUUAAAUUGCUCAUUGCUUUUCCUAUUCUUUUGCAGGAACAUGAACCUUAUGAUGACCCAUAGUUGGAUGUAUGUGAGAGGUACAGGUGUUAUCUCAUAAGCAUAUCAAAAUACAAUCAUGACGUGUAUAAUUAUUCAGUUAUACUUUUUGUUCAUGGCUCAGCAAUCGACCAAAUUAAAUGACAAGAUAAACAUUCAGACAUCCUUGAUGACUGGGAUUCUAGGAAGACGAUCACAUACUCGACCAGGCCACCUGUCACCGCGAGACAAGCUAAAAGUGAAGCAACUACAGGUUUGCAUCGAAUGUUUUUACUAUUGGUUUCUUCAAGGGUAGAAACUUAUACCCAACAUAUGUCAUUUUUAGGUCAAUUGACUAGCCCCUCUUUUUAUAAUUGUGCAGUCAAUUUAGAGAAAGGGGAAAAGAAAAUGUAUGACACAAGGACCCUAAACCCUAAACAUUUGCAUUCCUGAUCCUAUUUAUGAUCCUACAAGGGCUAUCUCUAUGAGCUGAACAAUUAUAGCAGAUGACACAAUCAAAUUCAGAGGUUAGAGCGUGACGAGCAAUGUUAUGAGAGCUUGUCGUUGAUCUGCCUAUUUUCCGCAAAAUUGGGACAUGAUGGAUGGUCCUUGUGAGGUUCUCCAAGAAUUUUAUUCCUCAUUUUUCUGUUCUGGUAGUAUGAUGGAUUUUGAUUAGUUGAGAACCUGCAGUUUCUUUGGUAAGUUGGGAUUAAGAGUUCCUGAUAGGAAUAGGAUCCCUACCAGGACGAGGUCUCAGGUUAUAUGGUUGGAAGAGAGGUUGGCGGGGUGAGGUGCGCGGCCGGCGGCGGCGGGGGGGGGGGNNNNNNNNNNNNNNNNNNNNNNNNNNNNNNNNNNNNNNNNNNNNNNNNNNNNNNNNNNNNNNNNNNNNNNNNNNNNNNNNNNNNNNNNNNNNNNNNNNNNNNNNNNNNNNNNNNNNNNNNNNNNNNNNNNNNNNNNNNNNNNNNNNNNNNNNNNNNNNNNNNNNNNNGGGGGGGGGGGGGGGCACAGUGAUCACGCACGCGCACAAAAGAGAGAGAGAGAGAGAAUCGAGGCGGCUAGGGUUAGGGUGCCGGCUCCUAUGGGAGCCGAGCAAAUAUGAUUGCUUCUGCUUAACCAAAACGGAGUCCUUACAUGAGUAUAUAUAAUCUCCCUAGCCUAACAAAUACGAUAAACUAGGCUAAGCCCCUAAUAACGAUAAGAUAAGUUGGGCCAGGCCUUUAUGUGGUUGCGCCCUUGGGCCCUCUCCGGUUAUAAUGAAUAAGGGUCAUAACAGUUCCAUAUAUAUUUCUGCAUUGGUAGUAUGAUGGCAUUUUUUUGCAGUGUCUGAUUUAUUCACUGUGUUAUUACUUAGACCAAGCUUCUACCUUACUUGAGUUAGUAUUUUUUAUGUAUUCCAAUAGCUGUUAUUAAUUAUAUUUUUUUACUUCCACGGGAUCAACAAAUUGUCAAGCGCACAUGCUACAACCAUCAAUUUCUGUGAUAUUAACCAUCUAACUCUACAAUGUUCACACACUGGUUUCCGUCAUCUAUACGAUUAUGUUUCCAUUACAGUUGUUUGUUUCUCCAAUGACUAUGUAUACUCUUACGCACAAUAAGAAAUAUAUUCACGCUAUGCUAGUGCAUCCAAAAGAGUUGGUACCCAGGAGUUUGUUUUCCUAUUAUGUGCAUUGCUGGGAGCCUGGAACCUUAAAAAAAUUAUAUUACAUACGAAAUCAUCUCCAUCAGCGCCUGCCUACAACAUAAAAAUUGUUAUCCUUCCCAAAGACGAAUUUCUGAACAUUCUAGGAAUUCACGUAUUUGUGUCCGUACAUUUUUCACCUUUACUAUAAGUGGAAUGGUUUGUUAUUUAUUUAACUGCAAUUCAAAACAUUUAAGUACCGCACUAUAUGUUAAUGCUACUCAAACUCCAUUAUUUAUAAUAAAAAUAUGUUUAGGGCUACUUUGUUGUAUGAGUGAUGGCCUUUUUCUAUGAAUUUCGUACGCCAACUGUUGAUACAAGGUAUUUAUAGGAAAAAACAAAGGCAAAUGCCCUUUUGAAAAACCAACAAAGGAUUCCUCGGUGAACCCUCACUUUUAAUGCAAGUUCACUGGACGACUACCAUAUCUUUAUGUAGCAUUGGAAUGCUUGGAUGGGAGAUCUCCAUUCAGCUUUUAGAAGCCGUGAUUUUAUUUGGUUGGUUUGGUGGACAAUAUAGGUCUAUAUCCACUAAUGGUAGUUAUUUUUUAUUUGAACUAGCAGUUGUAACAAACAUUAUAUACCUUCGUAUGCAAUUUUUGGUGUUGAGAUUUUGCUUUAGAAUAUUGGCUCACUGCCAUUAAUACUUUUAUGUGAGGCUGUUUUUCAAUCAUGAAAAAGUUAUCUUAUUUAUUAACAACCAAUGAGAACACCUAAUGGAUGGAAUAAGAUAUAUUGUGGUCUGUAUGCAACAACAUGGUCAUAAUUGUGUUUCACCUUUGAAACUGCAACUUGAGCGACAUCAUAGAAUUGUGUUUCCAUUUAAGAUUUUUUUGAAACAUUUUUUUUGUAUUUGUAUGAAUUUCAUUUGCUCAAGUAUGAGACGUGCAUUGCACGUGCAAGCUUACUAGUUACCUGAAAGUUGAUGCAGCAUGCUCACGCAAAGAAAUUUCGUCAGGCUCUGUGCAAAAAUAUUUGUGCUUGGAUCUUCUGAUGAUGCCCACGGAGCCGCUGCAGUAAUCUCCUCGGCAGUCGGCACUUCCCUUCUUCGCCUUCUUUGAUCGAGAGCACGACGGUUUCUCUCCAUGUCCCCGUCGGCAUAUCAACGGUGGCAUAUCCGACUAUGAGGAUCACCAGUGAGGCUCCCGUCAUCAACUAUCUUUCUUUGGUUUCUCCCGAGGGACAUGUUACCGUCUAUUCGCACGCCUCCUUCCAUCCAUGUCCCCUAUGCAUCCUGAUUGGUUUGAGAUGAUUCCAUUGACAUUCGCUAGCAUCGUUGUUGAUGAAACAUUUGUUAUAUCAUGUUUGCAGCUUCUGUUCGUGACUUUGCAAUCAAUAUUUGUAGAUACAGUUCAUGGAUCACGAAAUCUGCACAAUCUCCAUCUUCAUCCAGUGAUUAUACUGUAUUGAUUGGUUGUGUCAGGGUUAUUUUAUCAACCACUAGGUUGCCGAUCUAUAAUACAGUUUUAUUCUUACACAAGUUAAUAUGGACUUGAUUCCUUUUAGCUAGGUUCCCUAUAAUAGCUUGAGAGGUUUCUCAUAUGAUGAUUUACUAUGUUUAGUUUGCUUCGUUUCAUGCUCCUCAUGGUUUCUUUGAAUUCUUCUCAAGGUUCUCGAUGAAAAAUCUCACAUUAGCAAAUAUGUUGUUCUUUUGUACCAGGGUUGCAUGUGGUAUUGACGGUAAAUUUGAGAAGCAGCAUCAAACUCCUCGAUGUUGCUCUUAUCAUAUGGUGUAAAUAGAUUUCGAAUAAAGCAAUCGCUAUGAGAAUUUUUUUGAGGGAGAGGAUGUUGACAGUGUAUAGUUAGAUGUAAGAAGAUAUAAUCAUGAAGUGUGAGAGAUGGCAACAGUAUGGCAACAUGGUGGAAUGUACUGUUGUGCUCACCAAUGAAGGUUAGUCUUUCUUUCUGCUGCAGCCAGUCGAUUAUGCAAAAACUAUACCUAAUAUCUAUGUAGGUACGCCCAAAUAUAUAUAAGUGGGUGUUGUUAACACUGAGUUUGUAUUUAUUAAUGGGCAUACAUGUUUAAUUUCCUUUUUCUUUUAUUUUUGAUCUGAUCAGGACUUGAGAUCUGGAAAGGAUCACAACAAGGAUAUAAAUUUACGCAUAGCACAACUAUGGUUACUUUUUUACUAAUAAUUUUAUAGAUAUCUACAUACUAAUAGUGGUCGUCUUUUCAUUCGUGAGAAAACAUAUGCAAUGUUCCAUCCUGUCUUAUGUGAAACUUUUAUCCACAACUGAUUGAACUAAAAUGUCAUGAAACAUCUAUACUAAUUUGUUUUCUUAAAUUCUUUAGUUAGAAUCCAUCUCUUCUAUGUGAAUAGAGACGAACCACGAUUAUUCUAGCAAACUAUGGCCUCG